GAUGAACGCUAGCGGCAGGCUUAAUACAUGCAAGUCGAGGGGCAGCACAGGUAGCAAUACUGGGUGGCGACCGGCAAACGGGUGCGGAACACGUACGCAACCUUCCUUUAAGUGGGGGAUAGCCCGGAGAAACUUGGAUUAAUACCCCUUAACAUUAUGAGAUGGCAUCAUUUUAUAAUUAAAGCUCCGUCGCUUAAAGAUGGGCGUGCGCCUGAUUAGGUAGUUGGCGGGGUAACAGCCCACCAAGCCUACGAUCAGUAACUGGUGUGAGAGCACGACCAGUCACACGGGCACUGAGACACGGGCCCGACUCCUACGGGAGGCAGCAGUAAGGAAUAUUGGUCAAUGGACGCAAGUCUGAACCAGCCAUGCCGCGUGGAGGAUGACGGCCCUCUGGGUUGUAAACUCCUUUUAUCUGGGAAGAAAUGCAGAUUUUCUAAUCUGUUUGACGGUACCAGAGGAAUAAGCACCGGCUAACUCCGUGCCAGCCGCCGCCGUAA
This 500-nucleotide ribosomal RNA is filed under the name uncultured bacterium. Its description in RNAcentral is "partial 16S ribosomal RNA". It matches the Rfam family "Bacterial small subunit ribosomal RNA", at positions 28 to 523 of the family's 1533-position model. The record is from RNAcentral.